UGUGGCACCUGGGCGGCAGGUU
Molecule: unclassified non-coding RNA, 22 nt
Filed under: Mus musculus (house mouse)
Lineage: Eukaryota; Metazoa; Chordata; Mammalia; Rodentia; Muridae
Description: oocyte_clustered_small_RNA402
Source: RNAcentral